GACAGCAGUAGCCGCGGGAAUACGUAGGUGGCAAGCGUUGUCCGGAAUUAUUGGGCGUAAAGGGCUCGCAGGCGGUUUCUUAAGUCUGAUGUGAAAGCCCCCGGCUCAACCGGGGAGGGUCAUUGGAAACUGGGAAACUUGAGUGCAGAAGAGGAGAGUGGAAUUCCACGUGCAGCGGUGAAAUGCGUAGAGAUGUGGAGGAACACCAGUGGCGAAGGCGACUCUCUGGUCUGUAACUGACGCUGAGGAGCGAAAGCGUGGGGAGCGAACAGGAUUAGAUACCCCAGUAGUCCCUGUCUCUUAUAC
RNAcentral lists this ribosomal RNA (306 nucleotides) under uncultured bacterium. RNAcentral describes it as "partial 16S ribosomal RNA". It matches the Rfam family "Bacterial small subunit ribosomal RNA", at positions 507 to 807 of the family's 1533-position model. The record is from RNAcentral.